UCCAAGAUACGAAAGCCUCGGUUUAUAUAUUGAUCCACACUUAAGAAAGUAUUCUCUAAUGACAUAACAGGUUGCUGAUCUAUCCUCAAACCUUGAAUAAGUGAGCAUAUGAUGUUUAAUGGUGCAUGAUGCUCUAUCUUCUUUUCAUGUUUUCUCUCUAUGGUACCUGGAUUUCUCUUGUGGCAACGUUAUGUGUACACCUUGUUUUUCAGGUUAUCUUGUACUUUUCUUUUUUUAUUCCUCCAUUGCUUUUUUUAACAUUUUUGAGCCAAUGUAGUAUCAUAGGCUCAUAGCAACUCAAUGACUCAUUUUCUUGUUUUUUUCUUCAUUUGAAUUAUCUCUGGAACUCUGGAA
This is a long non-coding RNA of Arabidopsis lyrata subsp. lyrata, 354 nucleotides long. RefSeq lists it as uncharacterized. The record is from RefSeq and is a predicted model, not a curated record. The transcript has 2 exons. Lineage: Eukaryota; Viridiplantae; Streptophyta; Magnoliopsida; Brassicales; Brassicaceae.